This 240-nucleotide small RNA is filed under the name Drosophila mojavensis. RNAcentral's name for it is "GI26450". Lineage: Eukaryota; Metazoa; Arthropoda; Insecta; Diptera; Drosophilidae. The record is from RNAcentral.
AAAGCAUUGCUGAUCAUCUUCGUUGGAUUUUUUGCCGUUUUGCAGGUAGGUUUAUUAGCAUCUCCAGGGACAGUUGAAAGCAUUGCUGAUCAUCUUCGUUGGAUUAUUAGCCGCUUUGCAGGUAGGUUUAUUAGCAUCUCCAGGGACAGUUGAAAGCCUCGUUGAUCAUUUUCGUUGGAUUUUUGGCCGCUUUGCAGGUAGGUUUAUUAGCGUCUCCAGGGACAUUUGAAAGCAUUGCUG